Molecule: ribosomal RNA, 446 nt
Filed under: uncultured bacterium
Lineage: Bacteria
Description: partial 16S ribosomal RNA
Rfam family: Bacterial small subunit ribosomal RNA
Source: RNAcentral
CCUACGGGGGGCAGCAGUCGAGAAUCAUUCACAAUGGGGGAAACCCUGAUGGUGCGACGCCGCGUGGGGGAAUGAAGGUCUUCGGAUUGUAAACCCCUGUCAUGUGGGAGCAAAUUAAAAAGAUAGUACCACAAGAGGAAGAGACGGCUAACUCUGUGCCAGCAGCCGCGGUAAUACAGAGGUCUCAAGCGUUGUUCGGAAUCACUGGGCGUAAAGCGUGCGUAGGCUGUUUCGUAAGUCGUGUGUGAAAGGCGCGGGCUCAACCCGCGGACGGCACAUGAUACUGCGAGACUAGAGUAGUGGAGGGGGAACCGGAAUGCUCGGUGUAGCAGUGAAAUGCGUAGAUAUCGAGAGGAACACUCGUGGCGAAGGCGGGUUCCUGGACAUUAACUGACGCUGAGGCACGAAGGCCAGGGGAGCGAAAGGGAUUAGAUACCCCAGUAGUC